UGGGGAAUAUUGCACAAUGGGGGAAACCCUGAUGCAGCGACGCCGCGUGAACGAAGAAGGUAUUCGUAUCGUAAAGUUCUGUCCUAUGGGAAGAUAAUGACAGUACCAUAGAAGAAAGCUCCGGCUAAAUACGUGCCAGCAGCCGCGGUAAUACGUAUGGAGCGAGCGUUGUCCGGAAUUAUUGGGCGUAAAGGGUACGCAGGCGGUCUAAUAAGUCGAAUGUUAAAGAUCGGGGCUCAACCCCGUAAAGCAUUGGAAACUGAUAAACUUGAGUAGUGGAGAGGAAAGUGGAAUUCCUAGUGUAGUGGUGAAAUACGUAGAUAUUAGGAGGAAUACCAGUAGCGAAGGCGACUUUCUGGACACAAACUGACGCUGAGGUACGAAAGCGUGGGGAGCAAACAGG
This 403-nucleotide ribosomal RNA is filed under the name bacterium. Its description in RNAcentral is "partial 16S ribosomal RNA". It matches the Rfam family "Bacterial small subunit ribosomal RNA", at positions 355 to 776 of the family's 1533-position model. The record is from RNAcentral.